AACGUAAGAUGACUGUAGGUGAAAGCUUACAUCUCUUCGGAGCAUUUUACGAGGUGCUGCAUGGUUGUCGUCAGCUCGUGCCGUGAGGUGUCGGGUUAAGUCCCAUAACGAGCGCAACCCUACCUUUAGUUGCCAUCAGGUAAUGCUGGGGACUCUAAAGGAACUGCCUACGCAAGUAGUGAGGAAGCGGGGAUGACGUCAAAUCAGCACGGCCCUUACGUCCAGGGCUACACACGUGCUACAAUGGCCGAUACAGAGGGCAGCUACCUGGUGACAGGAUGCAAAUCUCCAAAGUCGGUCUCAGUUCGGAUCGGAGUCUGCAACCCGACUCCGUGAAGUUGGAUUCGCUAGUAAUCGCGCAUCAGCCAUGGCGCGGUGAAUACGUUCCCGGGCCUU
This 396-nucleotide ribosomal RNA is filed under the name uncultured Sphingobacteriales bacterium. Its description in RNAcentral is "bacterial SSU rRNA". It matches the Rfam family "Bacterial small subunit ribosomal RNA", at positions 984 to 1382 of the family's 1533-position model. Lineage: Bacteria; Pseudomonadati; Bacteroidota; Sphingobacteriia; Sphingobacteriales. The record is from RNAcentral.